CCUACGGGUGGCAGCAGUGGGGAAUAUUGGGCAAUGGGCGCAAGCCUGACCCAGCAACGCCGCGUGAAGGAAGAAGGCUUUCGGGUUGUAAACUUCUUUUCUCAGGGACGAAGCAAGUGACGGUACCUGAGGAAUAAGCCACGGCUAACUACGUGCCAGCAGCCGCGGUAAUACGUAGGUGGCAAGCGUUAUCCGGAUUUACUGGGUGUAAAGGGCGUGUAGGCGGGACUGCAAGUCAGAUGUGAAAACCAUGGGCUCAACCUAUGGCCUGCAUUUGAAACUGUAGUUCUUGAGUACUGGAGAGGCAGACGGAAUUCCUGGUGUAGCGGUGAAAUGCGUAGAUAUUAGGAGGAACACCAGUGGCGAAGGCGGCUUACUGGACAGUAACUGACGUUGAGGCUCGAAAGCGUGGGGAGCAAACAGGAUUAGAUACCCGAGUAGUC
This 443-nucleotide ribosomal RNA is filed under the name uncultured bacterium. Its description in RNAcentral is "partial 16S ribosomal RNA". It matches the Rfam family "Bacterial small subunit ribosomal RNA", at positions 338 to 795 of the family's 1533-position model. The record is from RNAcentral.